CAUCAGCAGCAAUUCAGAUUUGCCCAUCAUUUGGGGAAAAUCGUCGUAAUACAGGGGACAAAGUAACAAGCUCAUGUGAUUGUAAACCACGUACAUGAGAUUGUUGCGCUUUAUUCACAGGGGACAAAGUAACAAGCUCAUGUGAUUGUAAACCACGUACAUGAGAUUGUUGCGCUUUAUUCACAUGGUUCCCUGAUCCGCUACAAGGAUAAGCAUUGGUUGCGUGUUGCCUGACUUCAUUCAGUAAGCAUGAAGUUUUGGUAGCUGAAAACAUACAAACCGCACAAACAAACUGGUGGUUUCAGACGAGAAACGAGAGGCCUAAGGCGUCAUGUCCCAUCUAUCCGAUCAGCUAAUCUAACCUCGACAGAAGAAUCAUUCAGUCCAUCAGUUUCUUUAAGCAGCUGCAGUUUCCUUGUCGCCAUCGCUAGCUUGCACCGUCGCAGUUCCUCCAUCACCGUCCCAAGGUUAU
Molecule: long non-coding RNA, 472 nt
Filed under: Triticum aestivum (bread wheat)
Lineage: Eukaryota; Viridiplantae; Streptophyta; Magnoliopsida; Poales; Poaceae
Description: long non-coding RNA (TAES_LNC007491)
Source: RNAcentral